UGGGGAAUAUUGGACAAUGGGCGAAAGCCUGAUCCAGCCAUGCCGCGUGUGUGAAGAAGGUCUUCGGAUUGUAAAGCACUUUAAGUUGGGAGGAAGGGCAGUAAGCGAAUACCUUGCUGCUUUGACGUUACCGACAGAAUAAGCACCGGCUAACUCUGUGCCAGCAGCCGCGGUAAUACAGAGGGUGCAAGCGUUAAUCGGAAUUACUGGGCGUAAAGCGCGCGUAGGUGGUUCGUUAAGUUGAAUGUGAAAGCCCCGGGCUCAACCUGGGAACUGCAUCCAAAACUGGCGAGCUAGAGUAGGGCAGAGGGUGGUGGAAUUUCCUGUGUAGCGGUGAAAUGCGUAGAUAUAGGAAGGAACCCCAGUGGCGAAGGCGACCACCUGGGCUCAUACUGACACUGAGGUGCGAAAGCGUGGGGAGCAAACAGG
Molecule: ribosomal RNA, 429 nt
Filed under: Pseudomonadota bacterium
Lineage: Bacteria; Pseudomonadati; Pseudomonadota
Description: Proteobacteria bacterium partial 16S ribosomal RNA
Rfam family: Bacterial small subunit ribosomal RNA
Source: RNAcentral